Phymastichus coffea is the source of this 1199-nucleotide RNA transcript. RefSeq lists it as uncharacterized. Lineage: Eukaryota; Metazoa; Arthropoda; Insecta; Hymenoptera; Eulophidae. The transcript has 3 exons. The record is from RefSeq and is a predicted model, not a curated record.
AGGCUGCAAAGCACGUUUCUGAAGAUAAUCCCUCGAAAAUUUUCGGCACGCAAGAAUCAACCAUUACGUAUUUAUUUAGGAAUUCGAAAAAAAUAUUGUGGUUUUAACGAAUUUUUGAUGAGUGAUGUUUUGUAUAGCCUCGACCUUUGGGCAAAGAUAUAGAAAUGGAUGAGCAGGGUACAUGCCAAUACUGUUUAGUUUAUUUAAUUUAGAAAUGCCUGUACAAUUUCCAAUUUUCGUUGAAAACUUUCUUGAGUGAAAUGACGAUCCGUUCUCAGUAAUCAACAGUGCAAACUUCGCAGUCCUUCAGAGCACAUCAGUGUAUGUAUACCGAGUACCUUUUACGUUAGCACCGUAGUUUCGCAGAGUGCGUUUUCAUCACUUGUGAUUUAUAGAUUAAGCAGUAUUCGUACGUGGAUGGCUUGUAUGUAAAUUGAGCGUAUCGUUAUGAGUUGGUUGGUUAAUGGAAAGAAAUGUGCGGUGCCUCUAUGCCCGACAAUUCCAAAAGAUAGGAUACACAGGUAUCCAUUUCCGGUGGAAGAAAAACAAAGAAAUGAAUGGCUGGCGGCUUUGAAAAGUGAAGACUUGACGAAUAUGCCCUAUGAAGAAUUAAAAGAUCUUCGCGUGUGUGAGAAACAUUUCGAUCCCAAAUUCAUCUUAGUUAAAAUUAUAAAGAAUGUCCGCAAAACUCAAUUAUCACAAAAUGCUAUUCCAACGUUGUAUUUGCCAGAACGUAUAGUCGUUUGGGACAGGGAAACAUCGAGCUUUGUCGAAUCAAAUAGUCAAAAAGUACAAGUUCCAGAGUCAAUGGACCACAGUGGUAAUGAAGAAUUAGAGAAAAUGGACUGGGAGGAUUUGGACAAUUAAUAGUAUUCAACCAAACAUUAAUACAAUCAAUUUAUAAUUAUCGAAGUUGACGAGUUAAUAUAGACCACAGUGGUAAUGGAAAAGUAGAGAAUAUGGACUUUGAAGAUUUGGCGAAUUAAUAAUAUUCAGCCAAACAUCAGUACAACAGAUGGCAGUACUUACCGUGUCAUAGAGGCGUAUUAAGUAUGGAAAUGAUGAAAGAUUUAGAUCUCAGAUUAUGUUGUUCUUAAACAGUAAUCAACCCGAUUUUUGUGAUGUAAACAUUAUAUAUAUAUAUAUAUAUAUAUCUUUGCAAAUUGUGACUCGUAAUACUUAGAUAUUUAAUUUAAAAC